This 662-nucleotide ribosomal RNA is filed under the name uncultured bacterium. Its description in RNAcentral is "bacterial SSU rRNA". It matches the Rfam family "Bacterial small subunit ribosomal RNA", at positions 232 to 885 of the family's 1533-position model. The record is from RNAcentral.
CGCGGCCUAUCAGCUUGUUGGUAGGGUAACGGCCUACCAAGGCGACGAUUGAUAGCCGACCUGAGAGGGUGACCGGCCACACUGGGAUUGAGAUAAGGCCCAGUCUCCUACGGGAGCCAGCAGUCUAGAAAUUUGGGCAAUGGGCGAAAGCCUGACCCAGCGACGCCGCGUGGGGGAUGAAGCUUCUCGGAGUGUAAACCCCUGUUAGGUGGGACGAAAGCCCGUAUACGAAUAGUAGGCGGGUCUGACGGUACCACCAGAGGAAGCUCCGGCUAACUCCGUGCCAGCAGCCGCGGUAAUACGGGGGGAGCAAGCGUUGUUCGGAGUUAUUGGGCGUAAAGGGCGUACAGGCGGUGGUGUCAGUCAGAUGUGAAAUCCCCCGGCUCAACCGGGGACCUGCAUUUGAUACUGCAUCACUUGAGUACAGGAGAGGAGAGCGGAAUUUUCGGUGUAGCGGUGGAAUGUGUAGAUAUCGAAAAGAACACCAGUGGCGAAGGCGGCUCUCUGGCCUGAUACUGACGCUGACGCGCGAAAGCUAGGGGAGCAAACAGGAUUAGAUACCCUGGUAGUCCUAGCUGUAAACGUUGGGCACUAGGUGUUGGAGGUAUCGACCCCUUCAGUGCCGAAGCUAACGCAUUAAGUGCCCCGCCUGGGGAGUACGG